This 317-nucleotide ribosomal RNA is filed under the name uncultured bacterium. Its description in RNAcentral is "bacterial SSU rRNA". It matches the Rfam family "Bacterial small subunit ribosomal RNA", at positions 28 to 334 of the family's 1533-position model. The record is from RNAcentral.
GAUGAACGCUAGCUACAGGCUUAACACAUGCAAGUCGAGGGGCAUCAGUUUGGUUUGCUUGCAAACCAAAGCUGGCGACCGGCGCACGGGUGAGUAACACGUACCCAACCUGUCUCAUACUCGGGGAUAGCCUUUCGAAAGAAAGAUUAAUACCCGAUGGUAUCUUAAGCACGCAUGAGAUUAAGAUUAAAGAUUUAUCGGUAAGCGAUGGGGAUGCGUUCCAUUAGGCAGUUGGCGGGGUAACGGCCCACCAAACCUACGAUGGAUAGGGGUUCUGAGAGGAAGGUCCCCCACAUUGGAACUGAGACACGGUCCAA